GGAGAGGUGUCGGAGCGGUCUAACGAGAUAGUCUUGAAAACUAUUAAGAGCGCAAGCUCUUCGCGAGUUCGAAUCUCGCCCUCUCCGCCU
RNAcentral lists this transfer RNA (90 nucleotides) under Candidatus Shapirobacteria bacterium CG09_land_8_20_14_0_10_39_12. RNAcentral describes it as "tRNA-Ser". It matches the Rfam family "tRNA". From Rfam's summary of the family: Transfer RNA (tRNA) molecules are approximately 80 nucleotides in length. Their secondary structure includes four short double-helical elements and three loops (D, anti-codon, and T loops). Further hydrogen bonds mediate the characteristic L-shaped molecular structure. tRNAs have two regions of fundamental functional importance: the anti-codon, which is responsible for specific mRNA codon recognition, and the 3' end, to which the tRNAs corresponding amino acid is attached (by aminoacyl-tRNA synthetases). tRNAs cope with the degeneracy of the genetic code in two manners: having more than one tRNA (with a specific anti-codon) for a particular amino acid; and 'wobble' base-pairing, i.e. permitting non-standard base-pairing at the 3rd anti-codon position. The record is from RNAcentral. Lineage: Bacteria; Candidatus Shapironibacteriota.